AACGAACGCUGGCGGCAUGCCUAAUACAUGCAAGUCGAACGAUCACUUCGGUGAUAGUGGCGCACGGGUGCGUAACGCGUGGGAAUCUGCCCGUGGUUUCGGAAUAACAGCUGGAAACGGCUGCUAAUACCGGAUGAUGACGUAAGCCCAAAGAUUGAUCGCCCAGGGAUUAGGCCGCGUCGGUUUAGGUAGUUGGUGGGGUAAAGGCCAACCAAGCCUUCGAUCCUUAGCUGGUCUGAGAGGAUGGUCCGCCACACUGAGACUGAAACACGGCCCAGCCUCCUACCGAAGGCAGCAGUAGGGAAUAUUGGACAAAGGGGGCAACCCUGAUCGAGCAAUGCCCCGUGAGUGCUGAAGGCCUAAGGGUUGUAAAGCUCUUUUACCCGGGGUGAUAAUGACAGUAGCGAGAGAAUAAGCCCCGGCUAACUCCGUGCCAGCAGCCGCGGUAA
This 449-nucleotide ribosomal RNA is filed under the name uncultured bacterium. Its description in RNAcentral is "partial 16S ribosomal RNA". It matches the Rfam family "Bacterial small subunit ribosomal RNA", at positions 29 to 523 of the family's 1533-position model. The record is from RNAcentral.